This 352-nucleotide small RNA is filed under the name Opitutales. RNAcentral describes it as "Merdousia gallistercoris Standard tmRNA". It matches the Rfam family "transfer-messenger RNA". From Rfam's summary of the family: Bacterial tmRNA, also known as 10Sa RNA or SsrA, is named for its dual tRNA and mRNA-like properties. Lineage: Bacteria; Pseudomonadati; Verrucomicrobiota; Opitutia. RNAcentral also lists the same sequence under 3 other names. The record is from RNAcentral.
GGGGAUGUUCCGGAAUUCGACUUUGGGUUGUAAAUUAUGCUUGCAUGCCGGAGACGACACUUGGCUCCGUAAAAAUGUGUCACACAAAACAAUAAAUGGCGAAGAAUACGCUAUCGCUGCUUAAUUAAGCGGCGCGUCGGCUCUCAGACUCCCGAUAUGGGAAGCCCGGCGUCGACAUCGGGAACAGGGGCAGCGCUUGAACCGUCGGGGGCGAUGCCGCCACAAACCGGCGGGUGCCGAAGCGAAGGAAGUCUCGACCUAAGCGCUUCGAAAGAUUAACCGAUGACUAAGCAUGUAGAAGGUAUGGUUGAAAACGCUCAGGACGCGGGUUCGACUCCCGCCAUCUCCACCA